RNAcentral lists this ribosomal RNA (406 nucleotides) under uncultured fungus. Its description in RNAcentral is "LSU rRNA". It matches the Rfam family "Bacterial large subunit ribosomal RNA", at positions 1714 to 2107 of the family's 2925-position model. The record is from RNAcentral. Lineage: Eukaryota; Fungi.
UUAAUUAAAUUAUUAAAAUUUUUAUUAAUAAAUUAAUAUUAAUAAAGAUAUUUAAAAUUGAUUUUUUAUUCGGAUGGUGGCACAUAAUCGGAGGCCCCGACUGUUUACUUAAAACACAGCUUUCUGCAACGAUUAAUAUCUUUGUAUAGGAAGCGAAUUUUGCCCAAUGCCAUUAAUAUAAUGUUGAUAACCUUUUUAGUGUUUAUUGAUUGAAGUUCUGGUCAAUGGCGGUCUUAACCAUGAGGAUCCUAAGGUAGCAAAAUUAAUUGUCCAUUAAAUGUGGUCCCGACUGAAUAAAGUAACGAUGGUCUCACUGUCUCUACAAGUAUCUCAGUGAAAUUGAAUUAGCCGUGCAGAUGCGGUUUAACUUCGGGUAGACGGGAAGACCCUAUGCAGCUUCUACUGA